This 253-nucleotide ribosomal RNA is filed under the name uncultured bacterium. RNAcentral's name for it is "partial 16S ribosomal RNA". It matches the Rfam family "Bacterial small subunit ribosomal RNA", at positions 524 to 776 of the family's 1533-position model. The record is from RNAcentral.
UACAGAGGUCUCAAGCGUUGUUCGGAUUCAUUGGGCGUAAAGGGUGCGUAGGCGGCGCGGUAAGUCGGGUGUGAAAUCUCGGAGCUUAACUCCGAAACUGCAUUCGAUACUGCCGUGCUUGAGGACUGGAGAGGAGACUGGAAUUUACGGUGUAGCGGUGAAAUGCGUAGAUAUCGUAAGGAAGACCAGUGGCGAAGGCGGGUCUCUGGACAGUUCCUGACGCUGAGGCGCGAAGGCCAGGGGAGCAAACGGG